RNAcentral lists this ribosomal RNA (626 nucleotides) under uncultured Gammaproteobacteria bacterium. Its description in RNAcentral is "bacterial SSU rRNA". It matches the Rfam family "Bacterial small subunit ribosomal RNA", at positions 255 to 872 of the family's 1533-position model. Lineage: Bacteria; Pseudomonadati; Pseudomonadota; Gammaproteobacteria. The record is from RNAcentral.
GGGUAAAGGCCUACCAAGGCGACGAUCUGUAGCGGGUCUGAGAGGGUGAUCCGCCACACUGGGACUGAGACACGGCCCAGACUCCUACGGGAGGCAGCAGUGGGGAAUAUUGGACAAUGGGGGGAACCCUGAUCCAGCCAUGCCGCGUGUGUGAAGAAGGCCUUUUGGUUGUAAAGCACUUUAAGCGAGGAGGAGGCUACUAGUAUUAAUACUACUGGAUAGUGGACGUUACUCGCAGAAUAAGCACCGGCUAACUCUGUGCCAGCAGCCGCGGUAAUACAGAGGGUGCGAGCGUUAAUCGGAUUUACUGGGCGUAAAGCGUGCGUAGGCGGCUGAUUAAGUCGGAUGUGAAAUCCCUGAGCUUAACUUAGGAAUUGCAUUCGAUACUGGUCAGCUAGAGUAUGGGAGAGGAUGGUAGAAUUCCAGGUGUAGCGGUGAAAUGCGUAGAGAUCUGGAGGAAUACCGAUGGCGAAGGCAGCCAUCUGGCCUAAUACUGACGCUGAGGUACGAAAGCAUGGGGAGCAAACAGGAUUAGAUACCCUGGUAGUCCAUGCCGUAAACGAUGUCUACUAGCCGUUGGGGCCUUUGAGGCUUUAGUGGCGCAGCUAACGCGAUAAGUAGACCGC